AUUGCCAAUGGAAGUAAAAGUAACCAGGAAAGGUUAAAAUGCUAUUCCUGGCAUUUUAACCUUUCCUGGUUACUUUUACUUCCAUUGGCAAU
Molecule: non-coding RNA, 92 nt
Organism: Pelobates cultripes (western spadefoot toad)
Lineage: Eukaryota; Metazoa; Chordata; Amphibia; Anura; Pelobatidae
Source: the annotation of a GenBank genome assembly